Molecule: ribosomal RNA, 497 nt
Filed under: uncultured bacterium
Lineage: Bacteria
Description: partial 16S ribosomal RNA
Rfam family: Bacterial small subunit ribosomal RNA
Source: RNAcentral
GAUGAACGCUGGCGGCGUGCCUAAUACAUGCAAGUCGAGCGAACGGACGAGAAGCUUGCUUCUCUGAUGUUAGCGGCGGACGGGUGAGUAACACGUGGAUAACCUACCUAUAAGACUGGGAUAACUUCGGGAAACCGGAGCUAAUACCGGAUAAUAUUUUGAACCGCAUGGUUCAAAAGUGAAAGACGGUCUUGCUGUCACUUAUAGAUGGAUCCGCGCUGCAUUAGCUAGUUGGUAAGGUAACGGCUUACCAAGGCAACGAUGCAUAGCCGACCUGAGAGGUGGAUCGGCCACACUGGAACUGAGACACGGUCCAGACUCCUACGGGAGGCAGCAGUAGGGAAUCUUCCGCAAUGGGCGAAAGCCUGACGGAGCAACGCCGCGUGAGUGAUGAAGGUCUUCGGAUCGUAAAACUCUGUUAUUAGGGAAGAACAUAUGUGUAAGUAACUGUGCACAUCUUGACGGUACCUAAUCAGAAAGCCACGGCUAACUACGUG